This 447-nucleotide ribosomal RNA is filed under the name uncultured bacterium. RNAcentral's name for it is "partial 16S ribosomal RNA". It matches the Rfam family "Bacterial small subunit ribosomal RNA", at positions 29 to 523 of the family's 1533-position model. The record is from RNAcentral.
AGCGAACGCUGGCGGCAGGCUUAACACAUGCAAGUCGAACGGUCCUUCGGGAUAGUGGCGGACGGGUGAGUAACACGUGGGAACGUACCCUUAGGUUCGGAACAACACAGGGAAACUUGUGCUAAUACCGGAUAAGCCCUUCGGGGGAAAGAUUUAUCGGCUUUGGAGCGGCCCGCGUUUGAUUAGCUUGUUGGUGAGGUAAUGGUUCACCAAGGCUACUAUCAGUAGCUGGUCUGAGAGGACGGCCCGUCACACUGGGACUGAGACGCGGCCCAGACUCCUACGGGUGGCAGCAGUGGUGAAUCUUGCGCACUGGGCGAAAGCCUGACGCAGCCAUGCCGCGUGGAUGAUGAAGGUCUUAGGAUUGUAAAAUCCUUUCACCGGGGACGAUAAUGGCGGUACCCGGAGAAGAAGCCCCGGCUAACUUCUUGCCAGCAGCCGCCGUAA